This 443-nucleotide ribosomal RNA is filed under the name uncultured bacterium. RNAcentral describes it as "partial 16S ribosomal RNA". It matches the Rfam family "Bacterial small subunit ribosomal RNA", at positions 338 to 795 of the family's 1533-position model. The record is from RNAcentral.
CCUACGGGAGGCAGCAGUGAGGAAUAUUGGUCAAUGGACGAGAGUCUGAACCAGCCAAGUAGCGUGAAGGAUGAAGGCUUUCGGGUUGUAAACUUCUUUUCUCAGGGACGAAGCAAGUGACGGUACCUGAGGAAUAAGCCACGGCUAACUACGUGCCAGCAGCCGCGGUAAUACGUAGGUGACAAGCGUUAUCCGGAUUUACUGGGUGUAAAGGGCGUGUAGGCGGGAAAGCAAGUCAGAUGUGAAAACCAUGGGCUCAACCUGUGGCCUGCAUUUGAAACUGUUUUUCUUGAGUACUGGAGAGGCAGACGGAAUUCCUAGUGUAGCGGUGAAAUGCGUAGAUAUUAGGAGGAACACCAGUGGCGAAGGCGGUCUACUGGACAGCAACUGACGCUGAGGCGCGAAAGCGUGGGGAGCAAACAGGAUUAGAUACCCUAGUAGUC